AUUGAACGCUGGCGGAAUGCUUUACGCAUGCAAGUCGAACGGCAGCACGGGUGCUUGCACCUGGUGGCGAGUGGCGAACGGGUGAGUAAUACAUCGGAACGUACCCAGUUAUGGGGGAUAACUAACCGAAAGGUUAGCUAAUACCGCGUACGCCCUGAGGGGGAAAGCGGGGGACCGUAAGGCCUCGCGUAAUUGGAGCGGCCGAUGUCUGAUUAGCUAGUUGGUGAGGUAAGGGCUCACCAAGGCGACGAUCAGUAGCAGGUCUGAGAGGAUGAUCUGCCACACUGGAACUGAGACACGGUCCAGACUCCUACGGGAGGCAGCAGUGGGGAAUUUUGGACAAUGGGCGAAAGCCUGAUCCAGCCAUUCCGCGUGAGUGAAGAAGGCCUUCGGGUUGUAAAGCUCUUUCGGCAGGGAAGAAACGCUCUGGGAUAAUACUCCGGGGUAAUGACGGUACCUGAGGAAGAAGCACCGGCUAACUACGUGCCAGCAGCCGCAGUAA
Molecule: ribosomal RNA, 502 nt
Filed under: uncultured bacterium
Lineage: Bacteria
Description: partial 16S ribosomal RNA
Rfam family: Bacterial small subunit ribosomal RNA
Source: RNAcentral